GCCGAAAUAGCUCAGUUGGGAGAGCGUUAGACUGAAGAUCUAAAGGUCCCUGAAAAAGGGUUCAAUCCGGGUUUCGGCA
Molecule: non-coding RNA, 79 nt
Organism: Trichonephila inaurata madagascariensis
Lineage: Eukaryota; Metazoa; Arthropoda; Arachnida; Araneae; Nephilidae
Source: the annotation of a GenBank genome assembly